This 401-nucleotide unclassified non-coding RNA is filed under the name Phellinus robiniae. Its description in RNAcentral is "partial internal transcribed spacer region". The stretch from base 1 to 46 matches the Rfam family "Eukaryotic small subunit ribosomal RNA", at positions 1786 to 1831 of the family's 1831-position model. The record is from RNAcentral. Lineage: Eukaryota; Fungi; Basidiomycota; Agaricomycetes; Hymenochaetales; Hymenochaetaceae.
AAGUCGUAACAAGGUUUCCGUAGGUGAACCUGCGGAAGGAUCAUUAACGAACUUGAAAUCGGGAGUCUGUUGCUGGUGCGGAAACGUACAUCGUGCACGGCUUCUGUGUUCAAUUCAACCCCUGUGCACCUCAUCGAAGCCGGUAGUCCCUUUAUCUUCUUUGUUUUGCCGGUCGCGUGCGGUGCGGAUUGCAAGUAGCGAGUAAGGCGAACGCAACUCCGGUUGUCAGUAGCUUGAAACCGAAAGUGGUCUUGCCUUCACGUUCGGCCGGCGAGAGGGGGGAGAGGUCGAGGGUCGAAAGCUUUGACUUGCCAUUAAACGCUUUGUAUGUCUUGUGGAAUGUAUUAGCUCCUUCGUGGGCGAAAUAAAUACAACUUUCAACAACGGAUCUCUUGGCUCUC